GUCCUCUCGUACUGGAUUCCGGUUCGGAAUCCGACGAAUCGAAGAGUAACAGUCUCAUUUACGCACCGUUCCGAGAGAAUCCAUCAGGAUCCAACGCCGCAUUUCGAGAGUACUAUUAUCUUAGUCUACGGAGAAUCCUCAUCGGGAGAAAGCCGGUGAAAUUCCCGUACAAGUAUCUCGUGCCGGACUCCACCGGGAACGGCGGCGCGAUCAUCGAUUCCGGUUCGACGUUUACGUUUCUGGAUAAGCCGAUUUUCGAAGCCGUAGCGGAAGAGUUGGAGAAGCAGCUGGUGAAAUAUCCUCGAGCUAAGGGCGUUGAAGCGCAGUCCG
RNAcentral lists this unclassified non-coding RNA (330 nucleotides) under Hevea brasiliensis (rubber tree). Lineage: Eukaryota; Viridiplantae; Streptophyta; Magnoliopsida; Malpighiales; Euphorbiaceae. The record is from RNAcentral.